GACGAACGCUGGCGGCGUGCUUAACACAUGCAAGUCGAGCGAGAGCCUGGAAGCUUGCUUCCAGGGGACAGCGGCGAACGGGUGCGUAACACGUGGGCAACCUGCCCCUCUCACUGGGAU
This 120-nucleotide ribosomal RNA is filed under the name uncultured bacterium. RNAcentral's name for it is "partial 16S ribosomal RNA". It matches the Rfam family "Bacterial small subunit ribosomal RNA", at positions 28 to 144 of the family's 1533-position model. The record is from RNAcentral.